UGCUAUCUGGGAGCUUUUGGUUUUAGGAGCUUUUACAUUUUUUGUGCUUAAUUUUUGCCCGAUUGUUCGAUCUGUUUUGUGUGUUUUUAAAAUGUUUCAGUUAUUCAGUGGUCAUUACAGGAAGCUUGUUCUACACAUUAAAAAUGGAGUGGGUGAAUAUUUGAGGUCUUUUAAUUCUAGAAGUGAAGAAUAUCCAACUGUUUGACUAUUAGCAGGAGCUAUGACCAGCAACCCUUAUGGGCUAUUUGAAUCCAGCAGUUUGAAACGAAUAGGUUUAGACCCUUAGAUUCUGACUUAGGAGUACAACAUUUUUUGAUGUCAGUACAGUUCUCUUUGGGAAUUCUUGGGUCUAUGAAGUAGACAGUUGCAGUAGAACAAGUGGAAGGUAUGGUGGCACACACCUUUAAUCCUAGUACUGUAGAGGGAGAGGCAGGUAGAUCUGUGUAGUGAGACCCUGUCUCAAAAACAAGACAAGACAAAAAACAGAAAAGAAACAGCGGAGGGAGACCUCAAUUUGGAUCUCAUUGACUCUGCCCAUUUACAAACUGUCAAUAAAUUUUACGAAUCUUUAGAAUUUUCUCCAUAGUAUAGUGAUAAGACCAUCUUAUUAUACAGGGGCAGCUAUACUCUUAAGUCACUGGCAUCUUAGCAGAAGUUAUAAAGAUAUCAUUGUCAUAUCAUUGUUAAAUUCAACCUCAUAACUCUUUCCAGGGGUCUUUAGUCAUCUAGAUUGACCCUAGUCUACCUCUAGUUCUAAGAACUAGUAGGACCUAUGACGAUUGUGUGACCCCAAAGGAUUAUGGGGAAUAACUGAAUGAGACAGACUGUCUAGUUUGGGCAAGGGUUCUUUGUGUCCCUCAGAAACAGGACUAUGAAUAGGAAGGGAUAGUGCUAAUUGUUCUUCUAUAACCUUUAGUAUCAACUUUUUAAAACAUUUUAAGUAUUUGACUAGAUAAUUUUAAGUCAACUCCAAACUUGAUUAACCUUACCCAAAAUACAUGGAGCUUGUUUUAACUGGAAUUUAUUUUGACAGUAGGUUUGGGAUUGAUUAAAAGAUAGUGAAGUUGUGUUUUGCAUAUAAAACAAUUGGAAAAUGCAAAAUUUUUGUCUUUUCCUGGGUAAAAGUCACCAAUUUCCUAAUAUUAUAUGCUUAACACAUGGUGUCACUGUGUUCAGUGACAAGAUGUCUAAUAUGUUUUUCUUAGUUGAGAAAGCUUUUGAAACACAGUAUACCAAGAAACAGGAUUUUUUUCAAUAUUUACAAUGAUAACUGUAAAUGUCCCAGGGCAGAUCCUUGCCCUUUGAGAUGAUAGAUCUUGAAUGCUGGCACACUACUUGGGUUUGAUGCCCAGCUCUAAGAAUCCUAGCUAUGUGGAUGACUUGGGGUAGGUUACCUAGCCUGUUUCCUCAUCUGUGAAAUAGGACUGCUUACAUCAUACUGCUGAUCAGGAUUAAGUAUAGUAGAGCUGGUUAGCAUUAAGUUUAGGAAUGCUAGCUUUGAGGAUGGUAUUACAGCAUGAAACAUGAGAAUUUUAAACCUUUUUCAGUAUUCUUUGCCAUCAAAUUCACACUUUGUAAGUAAGCAAUUGAGUUGUUUUUACUAUAUUCACAGAGUUGUAUAAGAACCACUUAUCCCAAAAAUAUUUAGUCACUCCAGAAGAAAACAGUGUACCCAGCUGUGACCCCCCCCCCAUUUUUCUUUUUCCCUUCCCUGGCAACCACUGUUAUACAUUUUGUUUCUAUGGAUUGCCUGUUUUUGACACUUUAUAUAAAUGCAAUAAUACAAUGUUUGGCUUUUUGUGACGGGAUUUCUUAUUUUACGUAGCAUGUAUUAAAAGCUUAUUCAUGCUAGAAAUCGAGGAUUUCUUUUAUGACUAAAUAAUGCUCCACUGUAUGGAUGUGUCAUAUAUUGUUUAUCCAUUUAUCAGUUGAUGGACUUUUGGUUGUUUCCACUUUUUGGUUAUUGUGAAUAAAUAGUGCUGUG
RNAcentral lists this long non-coding RNA (1984 nucleotides) under Mus musculus (house mouse). RNAcentral's name for it is "long non-coding RNA chrX:159559977-159561961". The record is from RNAcentral. Lineage: Eukaryota; Metazoa; Chordata; Mammalia; Rodentia; Muridae.